AUGGAGUUUCCCAGAUUUGAUGGCUCCAAUCCACAAGAGUGGUUAAGGCUCACAGAGAAGUACUUUGCAAUGGUGUUUGUACCGGAAAGUGCAAAGUUUGACUAUGCUCAGAUGUAUAUCACUGGGAGAGCUGACACUUGGUUGAGGAACUCUGGCAUACUCCAAGAAAACCCCACCUGGACAGAAUUCUGCAAAGUACUGUGCAAACGAUUUGCUAAUAGCAGCUCUUAUGAAGCAGUAGCUGAUUUCAACUCAUUCAAACAAGGGGCCAACAAAAUGGCAUGCUACAAGAAAGAAAACCCUGAAGUAAAAGAGCAGUAUUAUGUCAAGUGCUACAUCAAUGGUUUAAGAGAAGAAAUUAAACACUACCUCAAGCCAUUCAAGCCAGCCACUCUCUAUGAUGCAAUAGAGACUGCCAGAGACAUGGAACAGGGAGCAAAUGCUUCUAACCAGUCCAAAAAAUACCAGCAAAUAGGGUACUAUCAAAAGACCACUGCCACAAAUACCUUACCCACUAAACCAAAAUCAGUCGACUAUGCUAACACCAGAAUAGCAGAUAGGCAGAGUACUAGGCCAGAAGUAAAUACAGAGAACCUGGGCAGUGCAGGUACUGUGGACAAAAGUGGUUUCUUGGACACAAAUGUGCACAAUACAAAACUCUCAAUCUGA
RNAcentral lists this ribosomal RNA (669 nucleotides) under Triticum aestivum (bread wheat). RNAcentral's name for it is "partial small subunit ribosomal RNA". Lineage: Eukaryota; Viridiplantae; Streptophyta; Magnoliopsida; Poales; Poaceae. The record is from RNAcentral.